Molecule: long non-coding RNA, 1625 nt
Organism: Numida meleagris (helmeted guineafowl)
Lineage: Eukaryota; Metazoa; Chordata; Aves; Galliformes; Numididae
Source: Ensembl
CGACAAAUGAACUUGCUCCCGUCCCCUGAGCACAGGUGUGAUGAGCAUUAAGGAACCUCAGGAGCACACGCUCUUGGCAGGGAGGGGGAGAGAAGCUGACCUGGGUGGUAACUGGGCUUCCCAGGGAAGGAGGGCAAGGAGCAAUUAAUGAUGUGGGUUCUGCUUGGGUUCGUUUGCAUCAUGAACCUCAGUACUUGCGAGUGAGGCUCCCAAGCUCCCCAGCACAGAGCAUGUCCCUGAGCUUCUGCUGGCAGCACUGGCUGCAUGUCACCCCCAGGGCAGUCAGCAGCUCUCCCCUACCCAGGUUAUGGCUUUACCUGUUUUCUGACACCUGUUUUCUUCUCCCUCCCUCCCCUCCUCUGAGUUGUUGUAUCUCCCAGGUGCAGCCCUGCUGAGGUAUAAGGCUUUAUUUUGUGUGUUGUGCAGGAUUAUCCUUAAUAAGCCAUGCUUCUCCUGAUCUUUGCUUUCUUGCUCCUAGAUUUCUGUCUCAUGGUGAAGAAAACAUGGACUAGAAAGCCACCCAGUGGGCAUGGAAUGGAUCAGGCAGCCUAAUGAAACCAGCAGUUAAUGACCUAAGGAGAAGAACUAAAACCAGCCCACUGCUCCACGGAGGCACUUAAUUUUUUCACGGGCCAUCCUACGCCGAGUGUUUUCUCGAAGAGUUUGGUGCUGGUUGAUGCACAGGACUGGCUGCAGGACCAAGGACCACCACAAGCCGAGGAUCAGCUCCUAUUGGGAGGUAUCAGCGUGGUGACGGCGAUGGCCUUGCUCAGACCCAAUGCACCGAGGAUGACUUCUAACACUGAUUAUGGCCUUUUUGCUGCCAAAUGAACCAGAAAAUCCCUCCCAGGGGCAGAGUUGUGCCACAGCCUCCCUUCUCCAAGGACAUGGGAUGUUAACAGAAACGUGGUGUGACCGGCAGAGCUCAGCACUGAGAUGGAAGGACUUGGUGAUGUCUUCAGAUGCACAAGUGGGGACAGCAGGUGGGAGCUUUCUAAGCCAGACAAAGGAGACCUGACAAGAAACUGUGGUGAAGGGACAAGCCCAAGGCAAAGGAAUGUCUGAUCACCUCCUCCCCUGGAGCAGGCAGCUGAGAUCUGCAUAGACAGGAGACAUUUUGCAAGACUCAACACCUGGAGCAGUGCUAACCAGGCAAGGACGGGGCUCUGUUGUAUCAGGAUGUUGAUCUCUCUCUCUCUUUCUCUCUCUUUCUCUGUUUGUGCAUUUGUGUAGUUUUGUUGCAUUUGGUGAGGCAAAUGAGCAACUGGUAAGUGGGGCAGGAAGGAGCAGCAGCAGCUGUUGAAGAUCAGCGUUGCUUUUUUUCUUUAAAUGUCAAAGAAAGGAGAAGCGCUUUAGAGAGCUUUUGGGGGGCUGGGGUUAUUUGCUGUUUGGCAUAUGGAGCUCUUUAACACAGCUGUGUUCUUGGGAGGGAGAGGUCUCAGCUGUCCAUUUACUCCAGUUUGCUUGGGCUCUCUGUACCCUGCCUGGGUCUGCAGAGGGCUGAGGUGCAUCUGCCUGCUGCAGAGCAUCCAGCCCUGUGGGAGAGGGAGCGAGUUACCGUAGGAUUCACUGUGCAUGGGUGCUUCCUUCCUUAUAAAAAUAAACCCUACAAUGUGUCUGGGUCA